This 396-nucleotide ribosomal RNA is filed under the name uncultured bacterium. Its description in RNAcentral is "bacterial SSU rRNA". It matches the Rfam family "Bacterial small subunit ribosomal RNA", at positions 29 to 416 of the family's 1533-position model. The record is from RNAcentral.
AAUGAACGCUGGCGGCGCGCCUAAUACAUGCAAGUCGAGCGAGAAGACGUAGCAAUACGUUUGUAAAGCGGCGAACGGGUGAGGAAUACAUGGGUAACCUACCCUCGAGUGGGGAAUAACUAGCCGAAAGGUUAGCUAAUACCGCGUACGCUCCUUGGACUUCGGUUCAGGGAGGAAAGCGAUACCGUGGGUACCGCGCUCUUGGUUGGGCUCAUGUCCUAUCAGCUUGUUGGUGAGGAACGGCUCACCAAGGCUUCGACGGGUAGCUGGUCUGAGAGGACGAUCAGCCACACUGGCACUGCGACACGGGCCAGACUCCUACGGGAGGCAGCAGUAAGGAAUAUUGCGCAAUGGGCGAAAGCCUGACGCAGCGACGCCGCGUGGGGGAUGAAGGUC